Molecule: long non-coding RNA, 4901 nt
Organism: Anas platyrhynchos (mallard)
Lineage: Eukaryota; Metazoa; Chordata; Aves; Anseriformes; Anatidae
Source: RefSeq, a predicted model, not a curated record
AGUGAGAAACUCAUAGAGUGCUUAGGGCAUAGCAGUCUAUGCCCUAAGCAGAUCAUCAGCAGAACAUCAAGCUGAACACUUUAGCAUAGCUACCAUGUACCACCUAGACACAGAAAUAUUAAUUUUCCUUGAGGAAAUCAUAUUUUUCAUUCAUCUGAUAUUUCCUACUUUUAAGGUAGACUGAAAGUAGCAGUUUGCCUCCAGCAAAACAGAAUAUUCAAAUAAUUUGCUGUUUCAAACUAAUAAUAAUUCAAUAAUUCAUUUAACUCAAUUUGUUCAAUAAUUCAAUCAUUCAAUAAUAAUCAAAGCCUUCCCUGCUUUCAGUAACUAGAAAGAAACUUGCCCUUUCUCUAUUGUCUUUUCUUGUUAUCACCCAGACCUAAGGCAGUCCCAAACCUAAAUGAAAAACCUAAACACUUUUCUUGUAAAGACUGCCCCAGAAUAUUUUCUCAUGUACUCAGCAGCAGGUGAUCACAUGGAUCACCUUUAUAUCAUCAUCACUGAUUGGAAAUGACAAGUGCCAGCUAUUCUUGGUUAUUAGGGGGCUGUUCCCAUUAUAGAGAUGAUAAAGCCUAAUAUCUCUAAUAUUAGGGGGCCUUUACUUUUUCACGUUUAACAUUGUUUCAUGGCUUUUAUGGACGUUUCCAGAAACAAUAGUGUAAACCCAUUUUGAUGAGGAACUAUGAGGAAAACUAGUCAAAGACAAUGGCUGCAAUUGCUCUAGAUGGACUGCAGAGAAUCUGCUGAUGAUAAACAGGAUGCUCUGCCAUGAACUACAAAAGAAAAAAUGAAAAUAUCACAUUAAUGGUUUUGGUAAUGGUAACACAUUACUUACUGUGGUGGCACAGUGGAUGUCUUUCCAUACAUUGGCUUCCCUGGAGAGAUCUGAGACUUCAAAAAGGAAACGUGCCACAGACGUAAGUGUCCCUUACCUUGAUGAUGAUGUGGGCUCUGUGAUCUGCCUCUGCAUGCGUGCAUGUCUGAUCAGAUGUUCUUUCAGCGCAUUCUGGACCUCUGCUGGUAUAUCAGGGCCAACACAACUUCCAAAAGACAAAAAGUGAGACUACCAGCAAAGCGAGCCCGCAGAAGCUGACGACUACUGCUAACAGACUGACUGAGAUGUCUGCAAGGAAUUAGAAACAGAGAUCAUCAUAACAGACAAACAUGGAGAAAAAAAAAAAAGUAAGAAAGAAACAGGUAAGGAGAUAGAAGCAUUUUAAUCACUAUCCUACCAAAACCUUUAAAGUUUUAUUUAUUUAUGUAUUUGUUAGUUUUUUGUUUUGUUUUGUUUUUAAUAUAUCUAAAACGCCUUUGAAACGUUAUCAUUCUCUACUAUAUAUUUCUUUUCCAAAUUCUCCAGUCACUGUUGCACAGACUAGGUGCCAGUAACAGUACCAGUAGCCACACACUGCUAGUCAGGCUUCUCAGGAAAUAAGGGACUACACAAGUGGUCCUGAAUACACCCAGCCAUGGUCAUCAAAAGGUGUUUGCUCAUGAACACUUCUUGCUGAAAAAAAUAAACAGUCAACAUUUUCUAUAAGUGUACAUGAAGAUAGGUUAAUUCAAAACACUGAGGCUGAUAAAGAAAUUUCUUCAGGACUUGUCAAACUUGUGACUUCAUGUGCUAACUGCUUCAUAAACAUGUUUAAACCUAACAUUUACCUGGAUAAGCAGGAGCAAGAUAUAGUCUGUCACAACCAAUAAGUGGCAGGGGUUAAAUCUUAAGCACUGAUAGACCACGACAACACAUAUAUCUUGGUAUCUAAAAUUAUGCUAUGAAAAUGAAGCUGGCUUCAGAGUACACUAUACAAUGCCCUGGGUUGUAUGGAGAUCUUACUGUACACUUGCUAUCUCUGCUGCCAAGCAUUUGACUUUUUCUGCCACAGUGGAUUAACAUAUCCAAUAGCUCUGUCAAAGUAAGGAGAACAGAUUUCAUACCAACUAAAUUCUGGGAACAGACGUGCAUUUUAGGAAAUGGUGGAUCACCAGAAAUGCCAAUUGGGCCUUAAUUAGGAUUUUUAUUCUAUGUGACAUGUUUCAGUUUGAUUUUUCCAGUAUCAUGUAAUCUUAUAAAAUUGGACUUAAAAAAUCCCCUUCCUUUUGAAAGGAGGCUUUUGUAUGCUUUAAAAAUAUUCAAUAAGCCCUGCCUAAAUGCCCCUCAAGUAACGGCUGCUGCUGCUUGUUACAACAAGAUUUGACAAUUUAACAACUAAUAUUUUGUAUCCAUAGCUCCAGGCUACAGACUACUAAACUGAACUCAUGGAAAAGUGCAACCAGAGUUUGAGCGUAUUUUUUAAUAAAGGCUCACAGGAAGAAAAAUAGUCUUCUAGGUGUGUAUUGAAUCUAUGAAACAGUAUGUAUCUCACAAAUACUUUGGGGAUAUUGAGUUUCAACAAGUUCAUUUAGGAAAUUUUUCUUUCAUUUCCAAAUAUGUCUAUCAGUAACAAAUCAUAGAAUCAUUAAGGUAUGAAAAGUCCUCCAAGGUCAUCUGGUCCAACUGUCCCCCUAAUCACCAAUAUCACCCACUAAAUAAUACUGAGCUUAAGGCCCAUUCAGCACGAAACUAGGUGAGAACAGUCAACAUAAACAGAAGAUGUUUGUAGUUUGGAUAUUUGAAAGACAUGUUUCUACUUAACCUUAUUUCAUAUACAUCAUGGCCAGCUUCAUGGAGGAAUCAGAAGGGGAUGUGCUUCUGCAUUUAAAGCAUUUGGCACUAACUGCUGUCCUGCCUUGAAGAGAAAUAUGCCUCUGUGAACAUUUUCUGACAGUCCUAGGAAAGGUGUCAUCCUUUUCUGCCUGUAGUUAAAUGUCAAAAUGUAGCCCUUGGAAUAUCCAUGUCAGCUUAAGGAGAAAUUCAUAUGCUAAAUUCUGAUUUAAGAUGUCCAUAAAAUGAAUGGUUGCAUAAUUAUACCUAAUAGCAAUGUAACACAAGAAGCAAACAAUAUUUUUGCAUAUGAUUUUUCUAGAGAAUUAAUGACUGAUAGGGGUUAUUAGGCUAUUUGGUUUGAUCUACUGUUUACACUGAGAUCUUUUCUGAGCCUGAUAACUUUUAUUUGGCUUGUGCACAUGCCACAGCAGUGUCUGAUCUUGACAGCAAGAGAAGGCAUUAGGAGAUGCUGAGUUUACGGCUUGUUUAAUGAUUAAUCACUUUGUUGCAAAUUUGUAUUUCUGAUUUGUACUUCUGUAGUUCUAAUUUACAGUCAUUUCUUCUUUCAUGUCUUCAUAUGAGAGGUGAAAAGCUAUGAUUUGCUUCAUAAGACAUGCCUAAGCAAAAUGUGCUGGAAAAAAAACACCCACAAGGCCUGAAAGUCAAUCACCUACACCAGUCCCUUGAAUGGCUUUAACCUGGGGUACUUCAUAAUGUCCCAGACAAUUCCUGAGCAUGAAUCAGGAAUUACAGAAGACCAACAAUCAUUCUUUAUAUGCACUUUGGAUGUGGUCCUUAUAUGUUAGUAGAAGACAGACUUUAAGUGUAUGGACAGAGGCUGUGACAUGUGAAUUGGCCUCAGUGCCAGGGAAUGGUCAUAAGUAAAUUUAAGAAGUGAAUACAGAGGUAUGCCCCAUUGAAAGAACUCUUUUUGGUUAAUUCUCCAUUCUCAAACCUUGACCAAAUGUAAAACUCUAGCAAAAGGUUAAUGAUUUUUCAGAAAGCAAGAAAAAAGAAAACCAAAAAGAAAUUCAAUUUGGGGUCAUUUGCAGUAUUUCCAGCUCAGUUUAGAUGUGGUUGGCAUAACUAGGUUAUGUUUGGAAAUGAAGGCUUUUAGAACUGAAAAUUAUAAUUUUUCAUUUAGAAAAUGUUGAAACAGGAUGUGUAAGUACUUUGAAAUAGCUGAAAUUAUUUCAAAAUCAGAAAUAUGAUCAUUGAUGCCUUCCAGCGGUUACAAUUUGAUGAGCAGACACUAUCAGCUGAAAAACAUUCUAUCAAAGCAUUUCUAGCCAAUCUUAUUUUAAGUUUUUAACUGCAAGACACUUUUCAAGCCUUCAAAUAACUUGGUGUCUCUUUUCAACACCUAUUCUAGUUCUUCGACUUUCUUUAUGUAUAUAUUUUUUUUAUAUUUCUAUUAUACUAUUUUAAAUUCUCUCUAACUUAGUACCAAAAUCUUUACAGACAUUGUAAGUUUCAUACACUGAAAUAAUCACAUGAAACAUCUGAAGUCUUAAGAGCAGCGAAAAUAUGUAGGAGCUAUUUCUAGAGAUAGUUGUACAAACUACAGUCUCCAUAUUUGCUAUUUAAUAAUAAGUUAAAGAGUUUCACAUAUUGCACUUGAUAGUACAACAAAUUCUUAAACAAAAUCAUGAAAUACAGUAAUUGUCAGAAAUUGGACCAAAAAAUAGUUCAUUAGGAUAAAAAUAUAUUUAUUUCAUUUACAGCCAUAAUUGCUAAAAAGCAACCACUAUACCAUAUACAUUAAUGUGAAUAUCAUGUUUCAUUUCCUCAUUUCUGACAGUCCCUUGGUUGAGUAACUACUGUGAAAGAUUUGCUGUUAUGUGAAGACUGGAAUCAUCUGUAGAACAGCAGUAAAUGGAGCUUCCUAGACACUUUACAUGUUACACCGGAUGUAUCUCAUGUAUUACCUCUUAAGAGGAAGCUUGGUUUGAAAAAAAAAAAAAAAAAAGCCCCCAAAACAUCUCCUGCAGAUGAGGAGUUUCUUCACACCCCUAUUAAGGAAAUCUGCUUGGGAAGAAAAAUGGGUACCAAAGGAUGUCUGUGUCUUUAGGCUGGGAUUGUGCUUUACUUAUGUAAGCGUUAUAUAAAGAUGGUGACAACUUCAAAGACUGACUAGGUUUUUAGAGGCAGAAGAACACUCAAUCUUCUGGGACAAUGCUAACUGUCAGUGUUGUAAAUAACGUUCUCACUUGUCUCCGGCAUGAAGUAAAAGAAAAAUAAUUUUCAACCACAA